RNAcentral lists this ribosomal RNA (782 nucleotides) under Clostridium perfringens. RNAcentral's name for it is "partial 23S ribosomal RNA". It matches the Rfam family "Bacterial large subunit ribosomal RNA", at positions 410 to 1192 of the family's 2925-position model. Lineage: Bacteria; Bacillati; Bacillota; Clostridia; Eubacteriales; Clostridiaceae. The record is from RNAcentral.
GAGUACCACGAGACACGUGAAACCUUGUGGGAAGCAGGGAGGACCACCUCCCAAGGCUAAAUACUACCUGAUGACCGAUAGUGAAGCAGUACCGUGAGGGAAAGGUGAAAAGAACCCCGGGAGGGGAGUGAAAUAGAACCUGAAACCGUGUGCCUACAACCGCUCAGAGCCCCUUAUGAGGGUGAUGAGGUGCUUUUUGUAGAACGAGCCAACGAGUUACGGUAUGUAGCAAGGUUAAGUACUUAAGGUACGGAGCCGAAGGGAAACCGAGUCUGAAUAGGGCGACUAGUUGCAUGCCGUAGACCCGAAACCGGGUGACCUAUCCAUGGCCAGGUUGAAGCGAGGGUAAAACCUCGUGGAGGACCGAACCACGUUGCUGUUGAAAAAGCAUGGGAUGAGCUGUGGAUAGCGGAGAAAUUCCAAUCGAACCCGGAGAUAGCUGGUUCUCUCCGAAAUAGCUUUAGGGCUAGCGUCGAGUAUGAGUAGUGGAGGUAGAGCACUGAAUGGGCUAGGGGGCAUAGCGCUUACCGAACCUUAUCAAACUCCGAAUGCCACAUACUUUGAGCUCGGCAGUCAGACUACGAAUGAUAAGAUCCGUGGUCAAAAGGGAAACAGCCCAGAUCGUCAGCUAAGGUCCCAAAGUGUAAGUUAAGUGGGAAAGGAUGUGAGAUUUCUAAGACAACUAGGAUGUUGGCUUAGAAGCAGCCAUUCAUUAAAAGAGUGCGUAAUAGCUCACUAGUCGAGAGAUCUUGCGCCGAAAAUGUAACGGGGCUAAACUUACC